Molecule: ribosomal RNA, 229 nt
Filed under: uncultured bacterium
Lineage: Bacteria
Description: partial 16S ribosomal RNA
Rfam family: Bacterial small subunit ribosomal RNA
Source: RNAcentral
GGCGUAGGCGGAAUUGUAAGCCAGACGUGAAAUCCCGAGGCUCAACCUCGGAACUGCGUUUGGAACUACUUUUCUAGAGGAUAGACGGAGAAAACAGAACUCUGCAAGUAGCGGUGAAAUGCGUAGAUAUGCAGAAGAAUACCGGUGGCGAAGGCGGUUUUCUAGUUUAUUCCUGACGCUGAGGCCCGAAAGCUAGGGGAGCGAACAGGAUUAGAUACCCUGGUAGUCC